This is a long non-coding RNA of Micropterus salmoides (largemouth bass), 7045 nucleotides long. RefSeq lists it as uncharacterized. NCBI's taxonomy places the organism in Eukaryota, Metazoa, Chordata, Actinopteri, Centrarchiformes, Centrarchidae. The record is from RefSeq and is a predicted model, not a curated record. The transcript is spliced from 3 exons.
AUAGAUCACGUUUCUCCAUUAUUAUUAAACUUGAAAUAAUAUAUGAAACAUUUUUAGUGUAUGAAAAGCAUUUAACAGCAAACAUGCCCCUCAUAUUCAAAACCACCCUCCUGAUUUCUGUAAAAGAUAGACAGGAACAUGGGCAGGAUGUUUAUACAGCAAAAUGUAAACAUUUUCCCUGGCCUUCUUUAAAUAAAAAAUCAAGCUAAAGCCCCGUUAGAUCAGUUAAUACUCAAUCUGAUGCGUUAUGCCCGUCUGUUCGCAGCAUCUUGUGUAGAUGUUGGACGUUUUUACACAUGAAUAUUGUUUGUGUAAUGCAGUCAUAAUAUUUACGCAGAGACGCAGGAGGAGCGAGAUGGAGGUUCCGCCGAACUGUGAGCGCAGAAACUCGGACGGGGACUUGAGCUCGACUCCCGCAGGCAGUUUACCAUCGAAUGAUCCAGGAAUGAAGCUCCUCUCUGCUACUGUGGCCUUUCUAGGACGAUUCAGUCCCACACAGUGAGUGGGAGCUUGUUUGGUGCCCCACCCUGCAGCUCUGCACACCUCCCAGGGCCAGUCCAUCAUGGUCUGUCUGAUGCAGGGAGAGACAUCAAUAAUAAGAGCUGAAGCAGAAACCACAGUGAAGAACACAAAAGAGAGAGGGAGGGCAGAUGCAGGCCACAACCGGGUCUGCUGCAGGGGGAUUUUCCUGUGGCAAGCUGCUUCGGAAAAAGCAAUUAAGAAUUCCCAAACAGUACACCACAAUGGGAGAUAUCAUUUGUGCAAUGUGUGUUCCAUGUCUCUCGAAGUUUUUGUCUGGAAUGGGUUGGCUAUUUUUAAUCUGUGCACAACCGGACCCACCUACAGACAAACCACAAAUUGAAAGAAGGGGAGGGGGGUGAGUGGGCAUGGUAAUUGCCCAUUGUGGAGCUCAAACUCCUCUGUUCUGCCAUAAACAGCUUUGGUAGUUCACAACUUGAUACCCAUUGCUCUAGUCGGUUUGAAAUUACAGCAUAUCCUCAUUGUCUGUGGGAACCCAGAGCCAGGCAGUGGUUGGAAUCAGUCAGGAAUGCUUUGGGAUGGUAACUGGAUUCAGUUGUAAUGCCCAGCUCUCCACAGCGGAACACUAGGGUGGGAAAAAGGCCGAGAGCAUUUCCUGAGUGGAGGGGGGUCCCAGCGAAGCAUCACAUGCAUGGGCAUCAUGUGACAGUGAUCCUGCCAGGUUUUAGCCUAUGAUCCCAAGUGAAGAGAGGAGUGGAGAGGAGUACAGCUAUGGGGGAGGUGGAGUGGACGCUGUGGGCAGUGUCAGGGAAAGAAUGGAGAGGACAGGGAGAGGCUAGAAUGAAGACAAGAGGGGCACAAAAUACUGUAGCUGUUCUAAUGCAACCUGUGAAGGAAAGGCUAGUGAUGAAGUGAUUAAGCGGAGGGUGUAGAAAAUAGAGGUGUACUGUCUGUAUCUGUUUAUUUCACAAAACUAACAAAUUUAUUGUUAGAAAUGUUGCGCUAUGCUGCUUCAUUUUCAUAAGCAUAUCUAUAUGUACAAGUUUAGCAGCUUGCAAAAUAUACAAAAUAACAAAUGUUUUAACCAUAUACCUGAAAAAAAUGUAAUAAUAAAAACAUGAUUUUUAUCAGAACCCCACCUUCAAUUAUUUUUAAAAGUGUAAACUGAGUCUACAUAAAAUCUGUGUAACUGAUAAUGCUCUGGGUGAAAACAGAUAGAGGAAAUACAACAAGAGAUUUUAACAGCUUUAACAGCUGUUUUUCAUUUAAAAACUAGAGGUUGUAUAAUGGGAGGAAGUCCAGAUGAAAAUAACGUUGGACUGAAGUGUCUAUGAUUUAAACAUGUAUUUUGAAAGCUAUUGUCAGUUCGCAUGUAUGACGUCAAGUUGCACAAGAUGCCAAGCUUCAAUAUUCAAUUACCAUGAGGUAAAAAUAACACGUCAACAUCAGUCAAGCUUUGUCCUGCAUAGCACAACUACAAAUCAAUUUUGGAUGACCCUUGGUGAAUGUCUGAAUGGCAAACUUAAAAGUAUCUACUCCGUGUUAUUACAAUGUAGCCUAUUUGUUUAACUUUUGGCAAAUGUGCAUCAUGAAAAGUUACUCUGAUUGGGCUAGUAACACCUUUCUAUUUGCACUGUACAGAUGAAAAAUAUGAAUCUGAUGAUUAUGAUCAAAUAUUAGAAGUUAUAAGGAGAGUAUUUUUGCAUGAAUGUUAAAUGGAUUCAUGUCUGUGUGUUUGCAGAGUUAUGACUCUGGGAGGACAGGGUGUGAUGUUUGUGACAAAGUGUGGAAAAAUGAAAAAAUAUUUCUGCAAAAAUUUGCACACUGUUUAAAUCUGUCCAGAGCCCAUUAUCUGCUUCUAUUUGUGUUCACUUAUAUGCCUGAUAAAAAAUGUAUCUAAUAAAUUUCCUUCUGCAAAAGGAUGUCGAUUGCGCUUAAUUGAUUUAAAACACAAUUUUCAACAGUCAUUUCAACUGAGUAAUCUGGCAAAUAUAACUGUGAAGAAGACUGUCUGUAACAUUAACUGUAGGAGGAAUCCUGUUAUAAGAAUGUGUAUUUGUGUCCCUCCACCAAUCUGUGUCUGUUUUUCUGUGCGCAUGUAUAUCCAUGGCUGCAUCUUGUAACCGCGCAGUUUAAAACAUCAGUAACUGUGUUUCUGCCUUUGGUUUUGCAUGCCUGUAAUGGUUGUCUGUGGCUGCAAGUGUUCGUGUAUCAAUGCAUGUCAAAAUGUUGCUGACAAAAUAUUUGUGUGUGUGUGUGUGUGUGUGUGUGUGUGUGUGUGUGUGUACAGACUUGUGCUGGCAGCCAGACAUUGCUCCCUUUGGCUUGUGUAAAUGUUGUGACGAUCUAUAUAUCUAUAGUUGUCAAAGGGCUUUUUAUUUCCACCUGCUACUGGCCUCUUUCCGUUGGUCUGCUCUAUAACAAUGGUACUAGGAAAGCUGUGGAGUGCAAAGUGAUUGAUGUUGGUCUGUAUUUGGCCCUUCUUCAGAUUGGGGCCUGAAAGGAAGUGGCUAUCCCUCCCUUCCACCCCGACUACCCUGCAAUAAUAAAAAGGAUCAAGAGGGCAAAGUGCUGAUCAGGACUUUCUUAGACAUCCCAUUUUAACAAAGUGCCAAUUGGCCCAAAAGACAAGUUGACAGGCGCAUAUAAACAAGGUUUCAUGACUUAUAAAUCAGUUUGCCACUAGAAGGAACAGAAUGAAGUUAACUUAUGCCACACAACUGAGCCCAACUGUAUCCCCUCCAUCUGCAACCACCACCCUUUUUCUUGUCCUGUAUGAAAAGAGAUACAAGCUCAUCACAUCUACAUUCUUUCCAUUUUGCUGAAGAGCAGCGUGGCAGAGAAGGUAAUCUAUCACUCAAAUGAUCUGUCCUUCCCUCUCCCUGUUUCUAACUGUGUUUCUCUUUCUCCUUCCUCCAGACUGGAGUGGGCAGGCGUGCGGCUUUGGCCACAGGAAGCUGUGAAUUCUUUGGAGAAUGGAAGAUGUCUUAUAGGGAGACAUACUGGCCCCCCACCCACCCACUCACCACCCCAAAAUGACACCUGACCCCUUCAUGUGUUUAUAUCAGACCAUGGAAGUGAGAAAUAGUGAUGAGUCACUCUGGCUGUGUGUUUACACUCUGGAGUCACGCAAGGAAGGAAAUCAGCCACGGUCUGCUAAAAGUGGCGAGGUGAGAGAGAAUAGCUGCAGUCCCCCAGCGCCGCAGUGAUUUACCUCUGAGAGUCAGAAUUUAUUUCACGUCAUCUCGGCUACGAGGUCUUUUGACCAGCAGAAAACAGCAACAUUAGCAGCACAGUAGACUGUUGAUGAGGAAAAGGCAAUUCUGAUUGCAGCAAGGGUCACUGGCUACUUCAAGACAUAAAACAUACAAAUUUAAAUUCUGAAAAUCCUAUUAAACACACAGUGUUGAUCACAUCCGGUUGCUUUCUAUUAAAGGCAGAUAGAACACACAUAUCACAGUCUCAGAAUGUAAAACCUGUAUCUUCAAACUUCCCAUGAUUCUUCAACUAAGAAAAAACAUUUUCAGUUUGAUGAAUGCACAUUUCACUGUCAGUCAUUUUGAACUGUUUUCAUAAACUAUUUUCCUUAGCUACAAGGAGAAUAUCUGAUUGAUAAAUUUAAUAAAUAAAAAAAUUUAAAUCACCAGAACUGUUACACGGGUUUUCAAUAACAUAUUUAUGAUAUCAUAAGCACAAGUUUCAGAAUUUAUUUUAUUAUCAUUGAUAAAUUAUAUUGAUAACAAUAUUUAAAAGCUUGAAUAAUUAAAAUUUAAUUCACAAUGCAAAUUUCUGGUUAUGAUUUCCUGCAAAAGAAAAAUGUAAAAAAAAAAAAAAAGAAGUAAUCAAACAAUUGAAGGCCCUAACUAAACAUCUACCUAAGAAAUGAUUAUGCAGCACUUUAUUAUGCCAGUUUGAUAUUGUGUCUAUCACAGGUUGCUCAGUUUAGAAACAAAGUUUACAUAAUCAUCAUAGUGGUAUAUGUAUAAUUAUGAUUUUACUAUAUUUAAGUGAAAAGCAGAUUUCAUGAAAGCAAGCCAGUCAGAGUCACCGCUAAUGACUGCAGCGUGUGUGUUUGUGACAAAGAUAUACCAAAUAUACCAAAUAUACCAAAUACACAAGGGCGUCAUUUUGUGCUGAAAAGUGGUGGGGAUAUUUAAGGACUCAGAUUAGGGGUGCAUUAGGGGUAAUACACUUAGCUUACGAGACAUGACGAUGCACAAUAAUGGGGUCAUGAGAACAAGACAAGAAGAUAUUAAAAUAAAUAUUCAGUGGUGCGAUGUAUGAUUUUGGGGGUCUGGGCGUCCUCCCCCAGAAGAUUUUGAGCAUUUAACACUUCAUUUUCUGCAUUCUGGAGACAUUUUCCACACUAAUUUAUAGUUGAAUGGUUUAUUUAUGUAAACACAAAACACAAAAUUCUUGGACAAUGUACAUUUGUUUCUUAGAUAUUUACAUUGCAUUACAUGUUUUGUUAUUGUGCAAAUAAACCUUUCUCAAAUAAUUUCAUUUGUUUUUUAACAUUACUUUCAAAAAGUGGUGGAGACAUGUACACAGUGUCCCCAGUGACAGACACCUAUGCAAAAUCAUAAGUAAUUUUAUUGUCUUCGACUUUAAUAAAAGUGGCAAGUUAGAUCUCCCACUCUUAUUAAAGAGGUAGACAUGGUGCUUAUGUCUUUACACCGUUCACUUAAACUGCGUUGAUGUUACAUUUGUGCACCAGUUCAUAUUGACAACAGGUCACUGUAGAAUUUUUGGCCUCAAAAAUACAAUAUACCGAAGAGAAUUUGCUCAAAUGUGUUCAUGAUACAUGUGAAUUGUGCUUGAAACACACCAGACACGUAUUGCAUUGCACUGCACUCGGAAGGACUGUAUGUUCAAUGUACUGUAAGGUGUGUUUACAGUGGCUAAGACCAGUGUUUCAAACAUAGUGUCAUUGUUGUCCCCCGCACUGAGCAACUUAAGAUUUUGAGAUUGCACAACUGUUGUUUUCAAGAGACAGCUGUAGUUACUGCAGUUGUGCUCUGUAAAUACAAGUGACACUUUAUUUCUUUCCAUCAUUACAUUGGUGCAAGUAACUUUAUUGCAGACUGUAGCGAGUAUCCUGUUACCCACCCCCAUACACACCACCACAAUGAGAGAGUCAGCGGCUCUUAUUUUGGCUGAUCUCUCCUGAAUUGUAAGUCCUGUCAGGGGCUUUGAUUGAUAGUUGUGUUUAUCACCAUAUUAUUAAGUAAUCAGGCUUACCACAGCUGAGUCUGAAGCUCCUUAAUUCCAGCUAAAGCACAUGGCUACAUGCUAAUUAAAGGUUUGGCGAAAGUGUUUAUUUUUGUGAAAUUUUAAAAAAUAGUUGCCUGUGUUUUUAUGAGAGUGCGCUGAUUGUUGCAUUUGUGUCCUCUCUGGAACAUUUAGUACCACCCUUUAGUGUUGCAUCUUCAUCAGAGAGAUCACAGUUAUUAUAAAGGACAGUGGAGAGAAAAUCAUACCGCAUAAGCUGCAUGCAUAGUGUAAACAUCUUGCCUUUCAAUACGUAAUAAUAGACUGUUUUACCUUGCUGUAAAACCUGCUAAUGACAAAUAAGGUACAUGCAGUACAGUAUCUGCAUAUAUAACACGAGAGGGUCAAUCAGUCUAUGUUCUAUCUGUAUGAGCAGAGGUUUCCUCUCGCUUUGUUAAUAGAGCCUGUGGCAGGCUGCGUUUGUGUAUUCCUGAGGUAAACACAGUCAUGGCAAAGUGGACAUGCUGCUGAGUGUGUCCUGACUGGAGACAGAGAGCACUGUGGCACUGUACUGACUGAGGCACUGGCAGCUCUCUAGAGGUAGGGUUAAUGUGAUGAAUGGCCAUUUGGUAAUGGGCCAUGUAUAAGGGUGAAAUAGCUCUUUUAAAAGCCCAAGCUUGAGCCGUUGCCAUGGGCAACUUGAUUCAAGAAUCAAUCAGGUGACAGAUGUUUCAUGUUUGAUCAGUCAACUCUGUCCUACUCUCCCUUUCAACCAAACGAAGGAAGAAAUGCUUGAGUGACUGCAUGUGGCAAUGAAAUGAAAAUGUAAAUUCAGGCAGACAAAAACAUCAGCGAUGCCAUGUUAUUUAAAAAAUCUAAAAAAUAAAAAAAAUUAGGCCAAUUUAAGGAACAGUGUGCAUAAAGUGAUUGAUCCUUAAACAAUGUGAAAAAUGUGAUGAUGUUUUUUUUUCUUUUGUACUGUGAGCACUGUAGGUUCUCUCUUGUGUAUACAGCCACCAGACUGUAUGUGCUUGUUCACAUCACUCCAGUUAGCGAGGAUGGCGCUGUACUUAUCAGUGAGUACCUGCAGUGCUAAUAUCUACCCAUUGUUCAUUCAGAUUUGGGGAAUUUCUAUCCACUAAGUGAAAUACAUAAUGUUGAAAGUGGACAGUUUUUUAUAUCCAAUACAAAUACGUAGGCCGAUAUGUUAUUAAAAAGGUUUAAAGGUGUUUUAUGAGGGUGUUUUGUGCAAUAAUUGUUCCCAUAUUACCUAUUACAAUCAUACUGUAUCCAUUUCAUUGUUAUGUAUUGCAUGCUCUGUGUGUUUUCUUUUAAUAAAUACAUUUUCACCUUA